UGAAAGUUUGCUGAUGUUAGGUGCCUCCUGAACGUCCGACUCUAUUCCUGCAGCAUGCUGACUCUGUAGCGAGCGGUCGAACACAGCAUCCGUAUUCACAACGGCAAACUGACCGUGCUUGUGCGAAUGAGAAAUGUUUCCUUCUAGCCUAGUGGGAAAUACCUUCAUGUUGAUAGGAGCCUGCUGUGGUAGAGCCUACGACGAACAAGUUGGCGCCAUGGACAUAUCCUAUUGAAAUUCAACAUCAGGCGGGUCCUUAUAUGAGCGUGAAUGUGUUUAGUUCCCGACGCUUGGAACACCAAUGAGUGUCCAAGAAGUCGACAACGAGAUUACACUUAUGUACAUUAUGAACGACUUAUCAACCACGAUCCCUCAAUGACUGAGAAGUGGACAAAUCAUCUCAAUAACUCCUGCUCGUAUUGGAAGUCGUAACCCACUCAUCUUCCGCUGGAUUCAAUCCUUCGGGUGGCUGGCAUCUAUACAGCUCAUCUUCCGGAUAACAACAACUCGCUGUGCCCUAGGAAUACUGAUAGCCAUUGUCAUUUCUAGUCUUAGAAAACCCAGAGAUACAAAAUGACGUUCGAUCCACACAUUGAUGCGUCAAAUGAAGCAGAAGAAUCCUCUCAUGAGACAGAAACACUUAUAUCCUGUAAUGACCAAACGCCGGAUGAGGUACCAGUGAAAUUUAUACGAGGAAAUAAUAUAUUACUACUUUAAGUAGAUCGUACGAUCCUGGUGAAUUUAUGGUACUGACUAACUGCCACAUUAUGUUGACGAUUCUAGUAGCUUUUUGUCCUUUUAAAUCCUGUCGUCAUGUAGUAAAGAAUUAGAGAGUAUGAGAAUUGCUUCAGCAAAGAAGAAAUAAAAGGAAACAAAG
RNAcentral lists this small RNA (877 nucleotides) under Histoplasma capsulatum var. duboisii H88. RNAcentral's name for it is "Histoplasma capsulatum H88 hypothetical RNA". The record is from RNAcentral. Lineage: Eukaryota; Fungi; Ascomycota; Eurotiomycetes; Onygenales; Ajellomycetaceae.